This 59-nucleotide transfer RNA is filed under the name Coccidophilus cariba. RNAcentral describes it as "tRNA-Arg". The record is from RNAcentral. Lineage: Eukaryota; Metazoa; Arthropoda; Insecta; Coleoptera; Coccinellidae.
UAAGAAGCAAAAAAUUGCAUUUAGUUUCGACCUAAAAAUUUGAUUUUAAUAAUCCUUAU